Molecule: ribosomal RNA, 468 nt
Filed under: uncultured bacterium
Lineage: Bacteria
Description: partial 16S ribosomal RNA
Rfam family: Bacterial small subunit ribosomal RNA
Source: RNAcentral
GACGAACGCUGGCGGCGUGCUUAACACAUGCAAGUCGAACGGAAAGGCCCUGCUUUUGUGGGGUGCUCGAGUGGCGAACGGGUGAGUAACACGUGAGUAACCUGCCCUUGACUUUGGGAUAACUUCAGGAAACUGGGGCUAAUACCGGAUAGGAGCUCCUGCUGCAUGGUGGGGGUUGGAAAGUUUCGGCGGUUGGGGAUGGACUCGCGGCUUAUCAGCUUGUUGGUGGGGUAGUGGCUUACCAAGGCUUUGACGGGUAGCCGGCCUGAGAGGGUGACCGGCCACAUUGGGACUGAGAUACGGCCCAGACUCCUACGGGAGGCAGCAGUGGGGAAUAAUGCACAAUGGGCGGAAGCCUGAUGCAGCAACGCCGCGUGCGGGAUGACGGCCUUCGGGUUGUAAACCGCUUUCGCCUGUGACGAAGCGUGAGUGACGGUAAUGGGUAAAGGAGCACCGGCUAACUACGUG